This is a long non-coding RNA of Rhipicephalus microplus (southern cattle tick), 472 nucleotides long. RefSeq lists it as uncharacterized. The record is from RefSeq and is a predicted model, not a curated record. NCBI's taxonomy places the organism in Eukaryota, Metazoa, Arthropoda, Arachnida, Ixodida, Ixodidae.
UGCUGCAGCAGCACCUGCUUGACUGCCACCUACCCCGCUGCAUUCCAACCUAGUUUUAUCAGCCACGCUGUUCCCAUGGCCUACGUUCAGCCUUCGUUCCAUCGCACAUGAAACACGUUGACGAUGAGAGCUCUGGGCCUGAUCGCUGCACUGUUUUCUUCCUGCUUAGCAGUGUCGACCGUCAAACGCUAUCCCCUGAAACCGUGCUCAGGGUCUGCAGUGGCCAGGAUUGAGAACGUAGCGGCCAAAAGCGAGAUGGACUGAGGACAGGCAGUGCUUUCCUUCGACGUCAUUGUGAGGGGACAUUUGGAGGAUCCUGAACCUCGCGUAACUGUGGCUGGCGAAGCAUUGGAAUACCCUCGACCGGGCUACAAAAUGUGUGCGCUGGUGAGACGCGAUCCAAAGGGCCCACCCACCAAUCCGUGCGAAUUCAGAGCUUGUGUCUAUCACGCACAGAUGAACGUUUUCGGUU